This 372-nucleotide long non-coding RNA is filed under the name Parus major (Great Tit). RNAcentral's name for it is "lncRNA (ENSPMJG00000002609.1)". Lineage: Eukaryota; Metazoa; Chordata; Aves; Passeriformes; Paridae. The record is from RNAcentral.
GGCCAUUUGAGUCCACUGAAAUGGCUCAGCAUGAAUAUUUUCUGAUGGGACAGAGCUGGACCAAGUGAUACAACUCUAAUGAUUACAAUUUUCUCUGUACCUUUUAGAGAAGGAAGUUUCAAAGGAAUAAUGAUAUUUAAUUGUUAAUUAUAUCUACUUUUUUACAGAAAAGGCUACACUGCCUACAUCAUGGUAUUGUCAAGGUGUUUCCUUCAACUUCUUGGUUAUAAUCCAUUUUCCUCUGAAACACCUAUUUGUGAACAAGAACUUUGUCAACUUUGUGGUUGUGAAAUUUAGGGGGAGGAAGAGAACAAAUAGACUGUGCUCCUCCUUUCAGAGUGGUUUCAGUCCUGAUCAGCAAUUUUUGAUUAC